GACGAACGCUGGCGGCGUGCCUAAUACAUGCAAGUCGAACGCUUUUUCUUUCACCGGAGCUUGCUCCACCGAAAGAAAAAGAGUGGCGAACGGGUGAGUAACACGUGGGUAACCUGCCCAUCAGAAGGGGAUAACACUUGGAAACAGGUGCUAAUACCGUAUAACACUAUUUUCCGCAUGGAAGAAAGUUGAAAGGCGCUUUUGCGUCACUGAUGGAUGGACCUGCGGUGCAUUAGCUAGUUGGUGAGGUAACGGCUCACCAAGGCAACGAUGCAUAGCCGACCUGAGAGGGUGAUCGGCCACACUGGGACUUGGCCACGGCCCAGACUCCUACGGGAGGUAGCAGUAGGGAAUCUUCGGCAAUGGACGAAAGUCUGACCGAGCAACGCCGCGUGAGUGAAGAAGGUUUUCGGAUCGUAAAACUCUGUUGUUAGAGAAGAACAAGGAUGAGAGUAAAACGUUCAUCCCUUGACGGUAUCUAACCAGAAAGCCACGGCUAACUACGUGCCAGCCGCCGCGGUAA
Molecule: ribosomal RNA, 523 nt
Filed under: uncultured bacterium
Lineage: Bacteria
Description: partial 16S ribosomal RNA
Rfam family: Bacterial small subunit ribosomal RNA
Source: RNAcentral